UACGUAAGGGGCAAGCGUUAUCCGGAUUUACUGGGUGUAAAGGGAGCGUAGACGGCAGUGCAAGUCCGGAGUGAAAGCCCGGGGCUCAACCCUGGGACUGCUCUGGAAACUGUAAAGCUGGAGUGCGGGAGGGGCAGGCGGAAUUCCUGGUGUAGCGGUGAAAUGCGUAGAUAUCAGGAGGAACACCGGCGGCGAAGGCGGCCUGCUGGACCGUAACUGACGUUGAGGCUCGAAAGCGUGGGGAGCAAACAGG
This 253-nucleotide ribosomal RNA is filed under the name uncultured bacterium. RNAcentral describes it as "partial 16S ribosomal RNA". It matches the Rfam family "Bacterial small subunit ribosomal RNA", at positions 524 to 776 of the family's 1533-position model. The record is from RNAcentral.